UCGAACGAGAAAGGGGAGCAAUCCCUGAGUAAAGUGGCGCACGGGUGAGUAACACGUGACUAACCUACCCUGGAGUGGGGGAUAACUGAGGGAAACCUUAGCUAAUACCGCAUAAUACCCACGGGUCAAAGGAGCAAUUCGCUCCAGGAGGGGGUCGCGGCCGAUUAGCUGGUUGGCGGGGUAAUGGCCCACCAAGGCGAUGAUCGGUAUCCGGCCUGAGAGGGCGCACGGACACACUGGAACUGAAACACGGUCCAGACUCCUACGGGAGGCAGCAGUGGGGAAUUUUGCGCAAUGGGGGAAACCCUGACGCAGCAACGCCGCGUGGAGGAUGAAGUACUUCGGUACGUAAACUCCUUUCGAUCGGGACGAUUAUGACGGUACCGAGAGAAGAAGCCCCGGCUAACUUCGUGCCAGCAGCCGCGGUAAUACGAGGGGGGCGAGCGUUGUUCGGAAUUAUUGGGCGUAAAGGGUGCGUAGGCGGUUUGGUAAGUCUGAUGUGAAAUCUAUGGGCUCAACUCAUAGUCUGCAUCGGAAACUGCCGGGCUUGAGUGUGGGAGAGGUGAGUGGAAUUUCCGGUGUAGCGGUGAAAUGCGUAGAUAUCGGAAGGAAUACCUGUGGCGAAAGCGGCUCACUGGACCACAACUGACGCUGAUGCACGAAAGCUAGGGGAGCAAACAGGAUUAGAUACCCUGGUAGUCCUAGCCCUAAACGAUGACUGCUUGGUGUGACGGGUA
RNAcentral lists this ribosomal RNA (737 nucleotides) under uncultured bacterium. RNAcentral's name for it is "bacterial SSU rRNA". It matches the Rfam family "Bacterial small subunit ribosomal RNA", at positions 62 to 831 of the family's 1533-position model. The record is from RNAcentral.